Molecule: small RNA, 114 nt
Filed under: Klebsiella pneumoniae
Lineage: Bacteria; Pseudomonadati; Pseudomonadota; Gammaproteobacteria; Enterobacterales; Enterobacteriaceae
Also listed under: 1 other name
Description: partial RtT sRNA
Rfam family: RtT RNA
About the family: This family represents a bacterial cis-regulatory element known as RtT RNA.
Source: RNAcentral
AGGAUGAGAAGCUUCGACUAAGGUUCGACUCGAGCGAAGCGAGAGAACGUUGCCGCAGGCAACGGCCCGAAGGGCGAGGAGCGAUAGCGACGAGUUAUCCUUCCCCCACCACCA